Molecule: ribosomal RNA, 949 nt
Filed under: Salmonella enterica subsp. enterica serovar Infantis
Lineage: Bacteria; Pseudomonadati; Pseudomonadota; Gammaproteobacteria; Enterobacterales; Enterobacteriaceae
Description: partial 23S ribosomal RNA
Rfam family: Bacterial large subunit ribosomal RNA
Source: RNAcentral
AGACCCGAAACCCGGUGAUCUAGCCAUGGGCAGGUUGAAGGUUGGGUAACACUAACUGGAGGACCGAACCGACUAAUGUUGAAAAAUUAGCGGAUGACCUGUGGCUGGGGGUGAAAGGCCAAUCAAACCGGGAGAUAGCUGGUUCUCCCCGAAAGCUAUUUAGGUAGCGCCUCGUGAAUUCAUCUCCGGGGGUAGAGCACUGUUUCGGCUAGGGGGCCAUCCCGGCUUACCAACCCGAUGCAAACUGCGAAUACCGGAGAAUGUUAUCACGGGAGACACACGGCGGGUGCUAACGUCCGUCGUGAAGAGGGAAACAACCCAGACCGCCAGCUAAGGUCCCAAAGUCAUGGUUAAGUGGGAAACGAUGUGGGAAGGCCCAGACAGCCAGGAUGUUGGCUUAGAAGCAGCCAUCAUUUAAAGAAAGCGUAAUAGCUCACUGGUCGAGUCGGCCUGCGCGGAAGAUGUAACGGGGCUAAACCAUGCACCGAAGCUGCGGCAGCGAACGUAUCACUUAAAGCGAUUCAGCGGGUUACGAUUGACGGAGCGAAGCGACGUCAAAGCGUAUACAAAGUCGAGUCGGUUUAAGGAUACGUUCGUUGGGUAGGGGAGCGUUCUGUAAGCCUGUGAAGGUGUGUCGUGAGGCAUGCUGGAGGUAUCAGAAGUGCGAAUGCUGACAUAAGUAACGAUAAAGCGGGUGAAAAGCCCGCUCGCCGGAAGACCAAGGGUUCCUGUCCAACGUUAAUCGGGGCAGGGUGAGUCGACCCCUAAGGCGAGGCCGAAAGGCGUAGUCGAUGGGAAACGGGUUAAUAUUCCCGUACUUGGUGUUACUGCGAAGGGGGGACGGAGAAGGCUAUGUUGGCCGGGCGACGGUUGUCCCGGUUUAAGCGUGUAGGCUGGUUUUCCAGGCAAAUCCGGAAAAUCAAGGCUGAGGCGUGAUGACGAGGCACUA